GACGAACGCUGGCGGCGUGCCUAAUACAUGCAAGUCGAGCGGACAGACGGGAGCUUGCUCCCUGAUGUUAGCGGCGGACGGGUGAGUAACACGUGGGUAACCUGCCUGUAAGACUGGGAUAACUCCGGGAAACCGGGGCUAAUACCGGAUGGUUGUCUGAACCGCAUGGUUCAGACAUAAAAGGUGGCUUCGGCUACCACUUACAGAUGGACCCGCGGCGCAUUAGCUAGUUGGUGAGGUAACGGCUCACCAAGGCAACGAUGCGUAGCCGACCUGAGAGGGUGAUCGGCCACACUGGGACUGAGACACGGCCCAGACUCCUACGGGAGGCAGCAGUAGGGAAUCUUCCGCAAUAGACGAAAGGCUGACGGAGCAACGCCGCGUGAGUGAUGAAGGUUUUCGGAUCGUAAAGCUCUGUUGUUAGGGAAGAACAAGUGCCGUUCAAAUAGGGCGGCACCUUGACGGUACCUAACCAGAAAGCCACGGCUAACUACGUG
Molecule: ribosomal RNA, 497 nt
Filed under: uncultured bacterium
Lineage: Bacteria
Description: partial 16S ribosomal RNA
Rfam family: Bacterial small subunit ribosomal RNA
Source: RNAcentral